UACAGAGGGGGCAAGCGUUGUUCGGAAUUACUGGGCGUAAAGGGCGCGUAGGCGGCCUGUUAAGUCGAACGUGAAAUCCCCGGGCUCAACCCGGGAACUGCGUCCGAUACCGGCAGGCUUGAAUUCGGGAGAGGGAUGUGGAAUUCCAGGUGUAGCGGUGAAAUGCGCAGAUAUCAGGAGGAACACCGAUGGCGAAGGCAGCUCGCUGGGACGGUACUGACGCUGAGGCGCGAAAGCGUGGGGAGCAAACAGG
This 253-nucleotide ribosomal RNA is filed under the name uncultured bacterium. Its description in RNAcentral is "partial 16S ribosomal RNA". It matches the Rfam family "Bacterial small subunit ribosomal RNA", at positions 524 to 776 of the family's 1533-position model. The record is from RNAcentral.